Long non-coding RNA from Oreochromis niloticus (Nile tilapia), 571 nucleotides. RefSeq lists it as uncharacterized. NCBI's taxonomy places the organism in Eukaryota, Metazoa, Chordata, Actinopteri, Cichliformes, Cichlidae. The record is from RefSeq and is a predicted model, not a curated record. The transcript has 3 exons.
AGCCUGGUCACUGAGGUCAGAGGAGGCGCUGAAAGGUUUCCCUAAUAGUUCCUGGUGAAUCAAAGCAGAACCAUAAAGGUUGCUGGACUGCAUGAUGGCCUUACCCCUGAGCAGUCAUCCUGUUAAAGGACCAACCAGUUAGAAGCUGUUUUCAAAGUAGCUGAGCAGAUUUCAUCUCAACAGACAAAGCCGAUGGCAGAAGAUGUUUGGAGAAGAACUUCAGGCCGUGGACUGACAAGGUAUUUUUUUCUUGUUAUCAAAAGACAUUUGGAGUGACGGCUUCUACAACUGUGCUGAAGUAAAGCUUACAGUCUAAGAAGUCACAGUGUUGAUAUUCAGCACAAAGAGAAAAGCUCACUUGUUUGAAUUUAUUUACAAUCAUAGUUUUUAUAAAUUCUGACUGUAAAGAGAUUUUACAGCUUUGAUAUUGUUUGACACUCGAUAUCAGGUGAUGGGAUUUAAUUUAAAGGUUUCUGUGUCCCAAUGAGCCAUUUACACUGACCAGUGUUUCACUUUAACUGUAACACAUUCAUUAUUUAGAUCCAACAUUUCUAAGAGAAAUAACUGAAUG